CAAGGAAGGCAGCAGGCGCGCAAAUUACCCACUCCCGGCACGGGGAGGUAGUGACGAAAAAUAACGAUACGGGACUCUUUUGAGACCCCGUAAUCGGAAUGAGAACGGUCCAAAGACCCUAGCGAGGACCCAUUGGAGGGCAAGCCUGGUGCCAGCAGCCGCGGUAACUCCAGCUCCAAUAGCGUAUAUUAAAGUUGUUGCGGUUAAAAAGCUCGUAGUUGGAUCUCAGUUCAGGUCGGGGGAUCCGUCUUCCGACGGCCAUCUCCCGGACCGGACAGCCGGCCGGUCUCCCUCGAUGAUCUUCAUCGGUUGUCUCGGGUUGACCGGCGAGUUUACUUUGAAAAAAUUAGAGUGCUCAAAGCAGGCUCCAGAAGCCUGGAUAAUGGUGCAUGGAAUAAUGGAAUAGGACCUCGGUUCUAUUUUGUUGGUUUUAGGAUCACGAGGUAAUGAUUAAGAGGGACGGACGGGGGCAUUCGUAUUGCGGCGCUAGAGGUGAAAUUCUUGGACCGCCGCAAGACGAACGACAGCGAAAGCAUUUGCCAAGAAUGUUUCCAUUAAUCAAGAACGAAAGUCAGAGGCUCGAAGGCGAUCAGAUACCGCCCUAGUUCUGACCAUAAACGAUGCCAGCCAGCGAUCCGGCUGCGUUCCUCAAAUGACGCGCCGGGCAGCUUCCGGGAAACCAAAGCUUUUGGGUUCCGGGGGAAGU
This 706-nucleotide ribosomal RNA is filed under the name Raveniella janineae. Its description in RNAcentral is "SSU rRNA". It matches the Rfam family "Eukaryotic small subunit ribosomal RNA", at positions 417 to 1124 of the family's 1831-position model. The record is from RNAcentral. Lineage: Eukaryota; Metazoa; Arthropoda; Arachnida; Araneae; Micropholcommatidae.